This 433-nucleotide ribosomal RNA is filed under the name uncultured bacterium. RNAcentral describes it as "partial 16S ribosomal RNA". It matches the Rfam family "Bacterial small subunit ribosomal RNA", at positions 29 to 507 of the family's 1533-position model. The record is from RNAcentral.
AACGAACGCUGGCGGCAUGCCUAACACAUGCAAGUCGAACGAGACCUUCGGGUCUAGUGGCGCACGGGUGCGUAACGCGUGGGAACCUGCCCUUAGGUUCGGAAUAACUCCCCGAAAGGGGUGCUAAUACCGGAUAAUGUCUUCGGACCAAAGAUUUAUCGCCUUUGGAUGGGCCCGCGUUGGAUUAGCUAGUUGGUAGGGUAAAAGCCUACCAAGGCGACGAUCCAUAGCUGGUCUGAGAGGAUGAUCAGCCACACUGGGACGGAGACACGGCCCAGACUCCUACGGGAGGCAGCAGUGGGGAAUAUAGGACAAUGGGCGAAAGCCUGAUCCAGCAAUGCCGGGUGAGUGAUGAAGGCCUUAGGGUUGUAAAGCUCUUUUACCCGGGAUGAUAAUGACAGUACCGGGAGAAUAAGCUCCGGCUAACUCCGUG